CAGCGUUAGACUGAAAAUCACAUGUGUGCCGCCAUUUUUUGUCUAUCGCCCUGGGCCGCGCUCUACAAACGUCAUUACUGAUGAUUGUUUUAAUAAGGGUGGAUAAGUUUAAGGCAUGUUUCUGGUCAUCCGUCAAGAAAUUAUCGUAUUAACUGGUUGGUAAUGCCGGUAAGGGGUUGAUACAGAUGCAGAGCAGCCUCGCGCAGGGCAUGUUCCUGGCGGGUGGUCGGGGGGCGUACGCGGGCGCGGCGCUGCAGGGACCUCUUGCGUAUCUGGAGAAGACCGCUACCAAUAUAGACAUGGUGGGUUUGGGCGACGGGCGAAGGUGACGCGGCCGCGGGCGGGGCAGGGGCCGCGGUCGGGGCAGAGGCCGAGGUCGUGGCGCGUCCCCUGAGUACGGGGGCAGCAUGACGCCCCCAUAGCGGCAACCUCUCCCGGCGACAGCGCGCGCGUCAUACGACCCCUCAGACCAGCUGGACUACUCGCAGUAUUUUCUAGAAUUAGACCAGAGUCUGCAGUACCAAAGGGCACAUAGUACUGACCCAUGCGAGUGCGAUCUAGGAAUAGCCAGUACUAGUACAAGUACUGGAACGCACGGCUGCUCGUCACAGUGGAGAUAAAAUUGCAACCAGAGACAAUUGUGUAGUUUUUAAAUUUUAAUCUUUAUCCAGUUUGUGGUUCGGUGUUUAUGUGUAGUGUUGACAGAUUUGUAGUGUUUUGACAGCUGUCAAAUAACAUUAAAAUCAUUAUUGUAAGGAAAUUUCUACCUUUUAUGUAAAGUUAUGAGGCUAUUUUAAAAUGAUGGAAAUUUUAUAUUCGUACUAUUUUACUAUUCGAUAUUAUAAUUUUAAAAAGCAUGUAAAAAUUACCACACGUAUAGAUUGUAAAUUCAGGUCACAACCCGACACCGCGAAGCUUCGCCUCAACAUUUCUGAUUGAGCGGAAUAAAGAUAUGAAGUUACACUGACUUCUAUAAAAAGAUAGGCUAUAAACUGUGGCCUAUCUAUUUUUCUUUAUCCUACACAAUCAGCGACGUAGAGUUGCGAUCGCGAGUUGGGGCGAGAAUGGCGUACGUUCACACUUGGCCAGUACAGUUGGAAAAUAGCGCUCAGUAACUCACUGGCAUAGUGUGAAUACUAACUUAGCUUAGCUUUUUUGGACAGUUCAGCUGUUCCACCGCGACUGGCGUAGUGUCAGUUAAAUAAUUAUUAAUGAAUAGGAAAGAACUAAACUUAUAAUUUAGGAAUUUAACUUUCAUAUUUGACGUAAGCAUACGCACCAUUAAAUAAUUACGUAGUUGCAAAUUAAAAAUGGCUUUAUUUGCUAUUGAAUAUAUU
Long non-coding RNA from Papilio polytes (common Mormon), 1337 nucleotides. RefSeq lists it as uncharacterized. The record is from RefSeq and is a predicted model, not a curated record. The transcript is spliced from 3 exons. Lineage: Eukaryota; Metazoa; Arthropoda; Insecta; Lepidoptera; Papilionidae.